GACGUAGGGUGCGAGCGUUGUCCGGAAUUAUUGGGCGUAAAGAGCUCGUAGGCGGUCUGUCGCGUCGAAUGUGAAAACCCGGGGCUCAACUCCGGGCUUGCAUUCGAUACGGGCAGGCUAGAGUUCGGUAGGGGAGUCUGGAAUUCCUGGUGUAGCGGUGAAAUGCGCAGAUAUCUGGAGGAACACCGGUGGCGAAGGCGGGACUCUGGGCCGAUACUGACGCUGAGGAGCGAAAGCGUGGGGAGCGAACAGG
RNAcentral lists this ribosomal RNA (253 nucleotides) under uncultured Nakamurella sp. RNAcentral describes it as "partial 16S ribosomal RNA". It matches the Rfam family "Bacterial small subunit ribosomal RNA", at positions 524 to 776 of the family's 1533-position model. The record is from RNAcentral. Lineage: Bacteria; Bacillati; Actinomycetota; Actinomycetes; Nakamurellales; Nakamurellaceae.